This is a non-coding RNA of Musa acuminata subsp. malaccensis (wild Malaysian banana), 92 nucleotides long. NCBI's taxonomy places the organism in Eukaryota, Viridiplantae, Streptophyta, Magnoliopsida, Zingiberales, Musaceae. The record is from Rfam.
CGGCUGUAGCAACAGCAACCAAUGGGAAGAAAACUGGUCGGAUUGCUUUGAAAUUUUCCAUAGGCAUUCCGCUUACCGAAUUUCCCAUAUCG